RNAcentral lists this ribosomal RNA (253 nucleotides) under uncultured bacterium. Its description in RNAcentral is "partial 16S ribosomal RNA". It matches the Rfam family "Bacterial small subunit ribosomal RNA", at positions 524 to 776 of the family's 1533-position model. The record is from RNAcentral.
UACAGAGGUCCCGAGCGUUGUUCGGAUUCACUGGGCGUAAAGGGUGCGUAGGUGGCAUGGUAAGUCGGAUGUGAAAUCCCGGGGCUCAACCCCGGAACUGCAUUCGAUACUGCUGCGCUAGAGUACUGGAGAGGAGAUUGGAAUUUACGGUGUAGCAGUGAAAUGCGUAGAUAUCGUAAGGAAGACCAGUGGCGAAGGCGGAUCUCUGGACAGUUACUGACACUGAGGCACGAAGGCCAGGGGAGCAAACGGG